This 379-nucleotide ribosomal RNA is filed under the name Aeromonas sp. S7-09. RNAcentral's name for it is "partial 16S ribosomal RNA". It matches the Rfam family "Bacterial small subunit ribosomal RNA", at positions 171 to 510 of the family's 1533-position model. Lineage: Bacteria; Pseudomonadati; Pseudomonadota; Gammaproteobacteria; Aeromonadales; Aeromonadaceae. The record is from RNAcentral.
GCAGGGUGUCUCUGCGCGGUGCGCGGUGGUADCUGGGGUKCCAUCGGGGUCCAUGGRMGCUCUAUCCSWMGCCUGGGGAAGUGGGUUCGGCCUCCSGUUGGUCGCCARUGGUUAGUAGUGGUGAGUACGCUYACCAAGCGACGUCUCUAGCUGGUCUGAGAGGAUGACCAGCCACACUGGAACUGAGACACGGUCCAGACUCCUACGGGAGGCAGCAGUGGGGAAUAUUKCACAAUGGGGGAAMCCCUWAUGCAGCCAUCCCGCGUGUGUGAAGAAGGCCUUCGGGUUGUAAAGCACUUUCAGUCAGGAGGAAAGGUGCYUAGCUAAUACCUAGUUCCUGUGACGUUACUUACAGAGGAGCACCUCUAACUCCGUGCCA